This is a long non-coding RNA of Pongo pygmaeus (Bornean orangutan), 528 nucleotides long. RefSeq lists it as uncharacterized. The record is from RefSeq and is a predicted model, not a curated record. The transcript has 2 exons. NCBI's taxonomy places the organism in Eukaryota, Metazoa, Chordata, Mammalia, Primates, Hominidae.
CCGCCGCGUCCCCUUUAAAUGCCCGGGAGCCGGAGCCGGAGCCGGAGCCGCAGCCGGCGCUGCGGCUGCUGCAGCAGCGGAGCCCACCGCAGUCCCCACACGUCACAAGCGACUGUCCAAUCACAGCGGCGCCGGCGCACAUCAAAGGGGCGGGCCGCCCGAGGCCACGCCUCCCUCCUGCCCCGGAGGCUCCCGGAGCUCCAGCCAAGGGCUGUGGACUUUCUCAUCCGCCGCCUCCAGAGCUCCGGUUCCUGAGAUUUGCAGAAGUGCACCUCCACCUCCUGCCCAUUCCGCUCUCGCGUCCUAAACCCAGUGGGAGGCACGGGAUGACCCAGCGGAGUCGCAGCGUCCCGACCCGGCCCUCGGGACCCUUUCCCCAGAUUAUAGGUUACUGAGGAUUGCGGGGGAUGGCGGGAGGAGUGACUCCGCACCCCCACCCCCGCCCGUAAAGUUGGUGGAGCGGGUGGUGACAGACAGUUUGCCCCUUUUGUAGAUAGCCCUAUAAAUAAAAAACGCACUUUCUCCCUG